Molecule: ribosomal RNA, 206 nt
Filed under: uncultured bacterium
Lineage: Bacteria
Description: partial 16S ribosomal RNA
Rfam family: Bacterial small subunit ribosomal RNA
Source: RNAcentral
AGCGCAGGUGGUUGUAUAAGUCUGAAGUAAAAGGCAGUGGCUCAACCAUUGUGUGCUUUGGAAACUGUACAACUUGAGUGCAGAAGGGGAGAGUGGAAUUCCAUGUGUAGCGGUGAAAUGCAUAGAUAUAUGGAGGAACACCGGUGGCGAAAGCGGCUCUCUGGUCUGUAACUGACACUGAGGCUCGAAAGGCGUGGGAGCAAACA